RNAcentral lists this long non-coding RNA (566 nucleotides) under Equus caballus (horse). RNAcentral describes it as "lncRNA (ENSECAG00000052500.1)". The record is from RNAcentral. Lineage: Eukaryota; Metazoa; Chordata; Mammalia; Perissodactyla; Equidae.
CCAAGAAGUUCAUUAAAACCCACAGCGGCAGGGCUUUGCUCUACUGUUCUCCACCCUAGUGAAAGAGACAUAUCCAUUAAACCGUGUUCUGAUUGGUCAUUCAUAAGAGAAUAACUUAAGUCCAAGGGUCACCUGUGAAACUUUGCCACAAGUAUUUUGACAAAUUCAAACCAUUGGUCAGUGUUUGUGUAGGACAUAGAGCAGAAGACAAAGAAAAUAGCACGUGGGAGAACGAGAAGUCGAGGAAAGUCCAGAUAUAGUUGUGCAGGUAUCCUUGGUGGCCAGUGCCUUGUGAAAGCACAGAAGCUGCAGAGAACAGGGUUCAAGUGCUCCCCUAGGGCAUGGCUUGUAGCUUUCCACUCAUUAUGGAAUCAAGCCUUGAGAGCCAGUCCCCUGUCUGAGCCCAUUGCACUGCCCUGCCCAAGAGAGAGAGGAGGCCAAAAGUGCUCGGAAAGCAGGAGAAUCUCGCUUCAAAGGAAAAUGAAAAUUCCACCUGUGCAGAAACGUCCUUCUUCCUUUUCUACUGGCAUAAUUUUCAUAGAGGCUUCAAAUCUCAAUACAAUGGC